UGAUAGCUGUGAAGCGCGAGGUUGCUGCAGAAACUGCAGGUUUUCCGUGGAGCGAAUGUCAAGUUAGAAAACUGGCGACAA
This 81-nucleotide non-coding RNA is filed under the name unclassified sequences. The record is from Rfam.